CCUACGGGAGACAGCAGUGGGGAAUAUUGGGCAAUGGGCGCAAGCCUUACCCAGCAAUACCGCGUGAGUGAAGAAGGUCUUCGGAUUGUAAAGCUCUUUGAUCAGGGACGAACAGAUGACGGUACCUGACGAACAAGCCCCGGCUAACUACGUGCCAGCAGCGGCGGUAAAACGUCGGGGGCGAGCGUUGUCCGGAAUGACUGGUCGUAAAGGGUGCGUAGGCGGCAGAGUAAGUUAGAAGUGAAAUACCCAGAGCUUAACGCGGGUGCUGCUUCUAAGACUGUUGAGCUUGAGUGCGGGGGAGGUUAAUGGAAUGCCUAGUGUAGCGGUGGAAUGCGUAGAUAUUA
This 347-nucleotide ribosomal RNA is filed under the name uncultured bacterium. RNAcentral describes it as "partial 16S ribosomal RNA". It matches the Rfam family "Bacterial small subunit ribosomal RNA", at positions 338 to 699 of the family's 1533-position model. The record is from RNAcentral.